UUGUGACCUGGAGUUCUCCUCAAAUCACUUCAGUUGCGAGCUAGCUUCUGCCCCCCGUUGUUGCAUUGACAUUGUUUUAUAAGCGCACAAUGCGGGGAUAUAGAGUUCUGCGUAGUGAAGUGUUUGGGGGAACUCUGGGUGGCAA
This 145-nucleotide microRNA precursor is filed under the name Hordeum vulgare subsp. vulgare (domesticated barley). RNAcentral describes it as "mir-395 microRNA precursor family". It matches the Rfam family "mir-395 microRNA precursor family". From Rfam's summary of the family: mir-395 was identified in both Arabidopsis thaliana and Oryza sativa computationally and was later experimentally verified. mir-395 is thought to target mRNAs coding for ATP sulphurylases. The mature sequence is excised from the 3' arm of the hairpin. Lineage: Eukaryota; Viridiplantae; Streptophyta; Magnoliopsida; Poales; Poaceae. The record is from Rfam by way of RNAcentral.